RNAcentral lists this ribosomal RNA (253 nucleotides) under uncultured bacterium. RNAcentral describes it as "partial 16S ribosomal RNA". It matches the Rfam family "Bacterial small subunit ribosomal RNA", at positions 524 to 776 of the family's 1533-position model. The record is from RNAcentral.
UACGUAGGGUGCAAGCGUUGUCCGGAAUUAUUGGGCGUAAAGAGCUCGUAGGCGGUUCGUCGCGUCGGCUGUGAAAUCCCGAGGCUCAACCUCGGGUCUGCAGUCGAUACGGGCGGACUGGAGUUCGGCAGGGGAGACUGGAAUUCCUGGUGUAGCGGUGAAAUGCGCAGAUAUCAGGAGGAACACCAGUGGCGAAGGCGGUCAACUGGCCCGAAACUGACGCUGAGGCACGAAAGCGUGGGUAGCGAACAGG